RNAcentral lists this ribosomal RNA (395 nucleotides) under uncultured bacterium. RNAcentral describes it as "partial 16S ribosomal RNA". It matches the Rfam family "Bacterial small subunit ribosomal RNA", at positions 523 to 918 of the family's 1533-position model. The record is from RNAcentral.
AUACGUAGGUGGCAAGCGUUGUCCGGAAUUAUUGGGUGUAAAGGGAGCGUAGGCGGAUCGUCAAGUUGAAUGUGAAAUCGACCGGCUCAACUGGUUGCUGCGUUCAAAACUGGCGGUCUUGAGUGGAGUAGAGGCAGGCGGGAUUCCUAGUGUAGCGGGGAAAUGCGUAGAUAUUAGGAGGAACACCAGUGGCGAAGGGGGCCUGCUGGGCUUUUACUGACGCUGAGGCUCGAAAGCGUGGGUAGCAAACAGGAUUAGAUACCCUGGUAGUCCACGCCGUAAACGAUGAUUACUAGGUGUGGGGGGACUGACCCCUUCCGUGCCGCAGUUAACACAAUAAGUAAUCCACCUGGGGAGUACGGCCGCAAGGUUGAAACUCAAAUGAAUUGACGGGG